GACGAACGCUGGCGGCGUGCCUAAUACAUGCAAGUAGAACGCUGAAGGCGGAGCUUGCUCUUCUGGAUGAGUUGCGAACGGGUGAGUAACGCGUAGGUAACCUGCCUGGUAGCGGGGGAUAACUAUUGGAAACGAUAGCUAAUACCGCAUAAGAGUAGAUGUUGCAUGACAUUUGCUUAAAAGGUGCAAUUGCAUCACUACCAGAUGGACCUGCGUUGUAUUAGCUAGUUGGUGGGGUAACGGCUCACCAAGGCGACGAUACAUAGCCGACCUGAGAGGGGGAUCGGCGACACUGGGACUGAGACACGGCCCAGACUCCUACGGGAGGCAGCAGUAGGGAAUCGGCGGCAAUGGACGGAAGUCUGACCGAGCAACGCCGCGUGAGUGAAGAAGGUUGUCGGAUCGUAAAGCUCUGUUGUAAGAGAAGAACGAGUGUGAGAGUGGAAAGUUCACACUGUGACGGUAUCUGACCAGAAAGGGACGGCUAACUACGUG
Molecule: ribosomal RNA, 495 nt
Filed under: uncultured bacterium
Lineage: Bacteria
Description: partial 16S ribosomal RNA
Rfam family: Bacterial small subunit ribosomal RNA
Source: RNAcentral